RNAcentral lists this ribosomal RNA (581 nucleotides) under uncultured fungus. RNAcentral describes it as "eukaryotic LSU rRNA". It matches the Rfam family "Eukaryotic large subunit ribosomal RNA", at positions 40 to 647 of the family's 3401-position model. The record is from RNAcentral. Lineage: Eukaryota; Fungi.
AUAUCAAUAAGCGGAGGAAAAGAAACCAACAGGGAUUGCCUCAGUAACGGCGAGUGAAGCGGCAACAGCUCAAAUUUGAAAUCUGGCCUCUGGCCCGAGUUGUAAUUUGCAGAGGAUGCUUCGGGCGCGGUGCCUUCCAAGUCCCCUGGAACGGGGCGCCGGAGAGGGUGAGAGCCCCGUACGGUUGGCGGCCAAGCCUGUGUGAAGCUCCUUCGACGAGUCGAGUAGUUUGGGAAUGCUGCUCUAAGCGGGAGGUAGACCCCUUCUAAAGCUAAAUACCGGCCAGAGGCCGAUAGCGCACAAGUAGAGUGAUCGAAAGAUGAAAAGCACUUUGAAAAGAGGGUUAAACAGCACGUGAAAUUGUUGAAAGGGAAGCGCUUGCGACCAGACGUGCGCCGGGGUGCUCAGCGGGCGUUCUCGCCCGUGCACUCGCCCCGGCGCAGGCCAGCGUCGGUUUGGGUGGGGGGAUAAAGGCGUCUGGAAUGUGGCUCCUCCGGGAGUGUUAUAGCCAGGCGUGCCAUGCCUCCGCCUAGACCGAGGUACGCGUUCUGCAAGGACGCUGGCGUAAUGGUCUCCAGCGA